RNAcentral lists this ribosomal RNA (253 nucleotides) under uncultured bacterium. RNAcentral's name for it is "partial 16S ribosomal RNA". It matches the Rfam family "Bacterial small subunit ribosomal RNA", at positions 524 to 776 of the family's 1533-position model. The record is from RNAcentral.
UACGUAGGGUGCGAGCGUUAAUCGGAAUUACUGGGCGUAAAGCGUGCGCAGGCGGUUGUGCAAGACAGAUGGGAAAUCCCCGGGCUUAACCUGGGAACUGCAUUUGUGACUGCACGACUAGAGUGUGUCAGAGGGGGGUAGAAUUCCACGUGUAGCAGUGAAAUGCGUAGAUAUGUGGAGGAAUACCGAUGGCGAAGGCAGCCCCCUGGGAUAACACUGACGCUCAUGCACGAAAGCGUGGGGAGCAAACAGG